GAUGAACGCUGGCGGCGUGCCUAAUACAUGCAAGUCGAGCGAACAGACGAGGAGCUUGCUCCUCUGACGUUAGCGGCGGACGUGUGAGUAACACGUGUAUAACCUACCUAUAAUACUGGGAUAACUUCGGGAAACCGGAGCUAAUACCGGAUAAUAUCUUGAACCGCAUGGUUCAAUAGUGAAAGACGGUUUUGCUGUCACUUAUAGAUGGAUCCGCGCCGCAUUAGCUAGUUGGUAAGGUAACGGCUUACCAAGGCAACGAUGCGUAGCCGACCUGAGAGGGGGAUAGGCCACACUGGAAGUGAGACACGGUCAAGACGACUAAGGGAGGCAGCAGUAGGGAAUCUUCCGCAAUGGGCGAAAGCAUGACGGAGCAACGCCGCGUGAGUGAUGAAGGUCUUCGGAUCGUAAAACUCUGUUAUGAGGGAAGAACAAAUGUGUAAGUAACUAUGCACGGCUUGACGGUACCUAAUCAGAAAGCCACGGCUAACUACGUG
RNAcentral lists this ribosomal RNA (497 nucleotides) under uncultured bacterium. RNAcentral describes it as "partial 16S ribosomal RNA". It matches the Rfam family "Bacterial small subunit ribosomal RNA", at positions 28 to 507 of the family's 1533-position model. The record is from RNAcentral.